This is a long non-coding RNA of Amyelois transitella, 940 nucleotides long. RefSeq lists it as uncharacterized. The record is from RefSeq and is a predicted model, not a curated record. The transcript is spliced from 2 exons. Lineage: Eukaryota; Metazoa; Arthropoda; Insecta; Lepidoptera; Pyralidae.
CUUCAAAAAAUUGGUAAGGUUACUUAAUUUGUGGGCAUUUAUUUCGUUUUUAUCAUAUACUUUUAAUAGGUUUAGUUUUUUUUAAAAUAAAUAAUUGGAUUUUGUCCCUAUAGAACAAGAUAAAUACAGUACAACUAUGUUACCGCUUUUAAAAAUACCGUUGUAGUCGCAGAGCACUGCUGGUCGCGUGCUGGAUCGGUAGGAUGUGCAUGAGAAGAACAGGGUGGGGGGGAAAGGUAGCAGGCCGCGCGACGCCAUUUUAUUCACUGCCAUGUUGUGAAUCACGACGCGUGUGUUUAUUCGGUGUGCACUUUGUUACCCGGCAAAAAGAACAUCAUGCCGCUAACACCAGCCGAAAAACAACGUCGGUACCGAAACAAACUAAAAUUAGACCCUGUUAAAGAAGAGGAAGCAAGAAAAAAAGCUUUGGAAAGGUACCACAAAACGAAACGCCUCGGCAAAGACUUAUCGUCACGUGAACAUCGCCAAAUAAAAAAAAAUGGCGGGUCGCCAACAGUAAAAGAAGGGACCGUAUUCGCGCCCUGGAAUCUAUUAUAAGAUAUACUCCUGAAUUGACACCUCAACCCGUUGUACCUCGUGAGAACACAUCACCCACAGGACAAAAUGCACCCAAUAUUCCUGAAAAUUAUCCGAUACCCGAUUCUCGUAGGUUGUGUACACUUCUAUGUCUAUCUCCAUUGCCUUCACGCCAGAAUGCUCAAGAAAACGUUCAAGAACAGAUGCCUAGACAAUCACUAUUGCAAUCAUGUAUGGCUCUGGAACGAUCAACGUCAACGGUGACGUCAUCUACAUCAGCUUCUGCCUCUGCGAAGAAUUGUGGACGAAAACAAGUAACUUGAACAACUGUGUUACCAUUGUGUCCCUAAUUCUAAGUAAAGGUUUUUCAACUUGAGUUGUACAAUUAGCUUAUAAAUUACAU